This is a long non-coding RNA of Pezoporus flaviventris, 5436 nucleotides long. RefSeq lists it as uncharacterized. NCBI's taxonomy places the organism in Eukaryota, Metazoa, Chordata, Aves, Psittaciformes, Psittacidae. The transcript is spliced from 5 exons. The record is from RefSeq and is a predicted model, not a curated record.
ACAUAUAUGAAAUGGGUGUUUUCUGUCCUUAUAGCAAGAGUGCUAGUUUCCAUCAAGCCAAUUAAUGAAUGGGAGGCGAUGUUCAGUGUGAAUACCAGGGGCUGCUAUCUAAUCGGAGAAGAGCUGGGGGCAUUGCCUGCAUCUUAGUACAAGUCGUCAGGUGCCUUGUGAAGUUCCAUGUCUCUUCAGAUUUCAGGGAUAGAUGUUGCUUCAGAUACCCAUGACCUGUUUUGAACCCAGCUAAUUCAGGGUCGUGCAGAUCCAAAUGCCACUAUCUGCUCAGCUACUCUGAAGUCUGAUCCAGCUAAAGAAACUAAAACAAACCAGCAUGACACCAGUGAGAUUUCUCAGGUGCAAGUUAAUUACUGAAAAUUCCUGGCCUCUGAGCCGAUCGGGACUAAUUAAACCUCAUGCUCCCUUCAGCAUAGCAGUGGAUGCCAUAUAGUACUGCAUUCAUCUAAGAGCAAUGAAAACCUGUGCGGAUUGCCCAGUGCAAUUCCAGCUGCAGGGCAGGUCCAAUGGUUUCAGCUGUUACAAGCAAGCAAACUGGCAGUGGCUUCUAUCAGCAUUAAGGUAGCUGAUCGACCAUGACAUGAGGAAAAGCACACGGUUCCACACAAGACUCAUCAAGGAAUGAAAGUCGUAGGCCCUCUCCCAUCUUCUCAUUCCUAGGUCAGAAAUAACAUCAAAUUACUUAUUAAUUAAUCAAUCAACCACCUGACUUCCUGUGAAUAACAAAAAUUAGGCAAGUUUGGAGGGUGGAAGUAAUCUUUCCUUGUAUGUGCUCAAGCCAUUAUGGGAACAGCACCACCAAUAAAGGGAAAGGAUGGGGAAAUUUCACUGUGUAUACUGGGGGAGAGAAAGGUCAGUUCUUUGGAGAGUCUAAAAAGAAUGGCAUUUUUCAAGAGCUUGAUGAAACUGGGUGGGAUAAUGGAAGAGAAAGUCUCAAAAAAAUCCCUGUAUCUGCAGAAAAGCUCAGGUGUGCAUUUGUUCUUAUUAGUCCCUAGAGAAUCCACACUGGGUUCUCAUUCUAGGGGACUCAACCACAAACGCUUCAGUUGGAGCUUGCAUCUUUCUGAAAGUCCAUUAGUUAAUCUGUAGGAAAUCAGGCUUGAUGCCUUUCAGUGCUCACAAGAUUACUUGUGUUCUUUCUGGAACACAGACAGGAAAAUUGCUGAGAUGACAAAGAUAUCCGAUGUGUCUUCCAAGAAUGUCUCUCACCCUUUCAUGAAUGUUUAAAUCUCUCCAUUUCCCAAAUGCGUGCUUAUUUGACAUUUUUAUAACUAACAGGUGUUUUAUGUAGUUUUGUUGGUGCCUCAAACUUACUCAAGAACAUGAAAAAGGGUCUCUCUUUAUCUGGUCUACACCAAUUGACAUUAUCUCAAACCACCUUCAAAUUUCUUUCCAUUCACCUCCAUAACUCUUCCUACAGGCUGUCCUCCAACUUGUCUUCAUAUCUCUAUGGUUAUCUAUUAGAAAGCUGUCACUUGGCCAGACUCUUUUUAAUGUGUUCUGUUGUCAAGAUUUGACACUCCAGUGAAGUGUAUUCAGACUUUUUUGAUCUAUAGAAAUUUUUUAUCGGUGAUGAGGAGCCUUUCAGAAAUUUCACAUGCAUAGAUUGCUGUACAGCGUAUAUGAACUUGCUGUUCUCAUUCGCCCUGCACAUAUCUGUUAGCAGCAGUCCAAGUAUCCCCCCCCCUUCCCCCCCAAUACCAUCCAGAGAUUAUAGAUUGUACAGCUUUAACACAUCAAACUUGGGAUCCUGAAAUGUCAGUCGUGGAUGACUUACACUGUAGAAGAUACCAGAGUUAAAGAUCAAACUAAAAGUAAAUGUAAAUUUGAAACUUAGCAGAUAGCUCCAGUCUCCCAUAAAAGAGUAGGAGUCUGGUUGUUGUGGAAGCUUUAAUAGGCCAUGAUUCCUAGUUAGAUCUACAGAGCACACUUAACGACCCACAUCAUCAGUCAUUGAGGGAUUGCAGUUACCAAGGGAUGGAGAGGAAAAAAGCACCAAGGAGUCUCCAAAAAGCCCAUAUGAGAUUUGGAUGGCUGUAUUGUAUGAAGGGCCUAGGUCAGCCUUUGUGACCUGGGAGAAAAUUGUAGAAAAAUUGAGUCUGUGAGACCUUGCCCUCAGCCCAUAAACAAGCAUAGCUUUCUUUUUCUUUCUUAGUACUGGUUGGAAACCUGGCAUUAAAAACAAACGGAAAAGCUUCUGGGUUCCUCUGAUGUUGUAUGUUGGAAAUUGAGGGCUUUGCUGACUUGAUUGCCACUUCUGAUGAGUGGCUUGCAUUGAAAUCACACAAGUCAGUAUGCUGAAAACUGAGCAAGUGAUACAGAAAACAUAGUCCUUCUGUAAAAUUUGGUUUCAUUUAUUCAUCACUAGCACCUGUUUAAGUUCAAUAACAAAAUAGUUAUUUGGGUUAAUGUCAUCUUCAUUUACAAGCAUUGGGGUUUACAGAAACAUCUGGCCUUACCCAGGUAGAGUGCGUCCUAUAAGAAGCAACCAGGAAUACAGGAAUUCAAAUUUGUCCUAUUUCCAAGCAUAUAUGUUGGUUGGUUGCUUGUUUUCUGGAGAAUAUGAGAGGUAAUUAAAGAAAGAAACAAACAACCCCAAAACCCCCAGCAAACCAACCUCCCUUCCAAGUCAUUAUUGCUGAAGGAAGUACUUCACCUACUCGAAUGUUUCCGAAGUGUUACAGAAGCCUCAGAGAACACAUUUUUCUUCCUUUCUUUAUGUCAGGUUUUUUUUGUUUGUCAUUGAGGUUGAGCUUUCUGCAGGUCUCUUAAAACCCACAGGUUCAGCUGAGUAUCCAAUGGGAUAUUUAAAAACAACUAUUCAUCAAGCUCUUUUUGACACCGAGAGUCACCAGUGUGAUUCCCCAGUAGUAACUUCCCCGGGUGCUUAAAUAGCCUCCUUAGACACUUGGCCCUACAGCCAUGAUUCUGCAAAACAUGCCCAACAUAUGCUCAGCUUUAGGCAUGUAAGAAAUCCCACCCUGCUCAGCUCCCUCGAAAAAAUCACACCCCAGACCUAAACUGCUGUGCUCAGUAUAUAAUAUUUUAUUUGGACAUCUGUUCACGGAGAGCAUGGCAACGAGUGCAAAGCUUCCUUCCCAUGUCUACAUGGGUCCUCAUUUUCCAGGGUUAAAACCUGAAUCAAGUUUUUCCUUUAGCAAGGACAAGCUGCAAAGGGCAGACAGCCUCAUUAAAAAAGAAAUCUAUAAAUCCUGUAGUCCUCUCCUCGCCUCUGUUAACUACAGUGUUUGAGGUGAAAGCUGUUAACUGCGGCUUUUAAAAGGUAUGCAUAAAUGCAACCUUUUCCUCAAAAACUUUGAAAAUGUGCAUAAACAAUAACAAUUUACGAUAAAUGCAAUGCUCUUUUACUAGAUUUAUGUGCUAAAACCAACAACUACUUACAAUAAUGAAAUGCAUGGGCUAGAUUUUUCUUUCGCCUGAGUCACUCCAUUACCUCCAGUGCUUUAAGAGAAUUGCUGCGAAGUAGAAUCGGGCCCUUAAUGGUUUGCCAGCUACCACACUGACAUUACACCCAGACAACAGUCAGAAAUUUAUAUUUAGGUCCACAAGAACAGUACAUUCGAUAUCUUUAAGUGUUUUAUGAGGCAGGACUUUUCUGACUGCUCUGGCAAAACCGCCGGUGUGCAUAGUAACUGGAGCUUUGAACAAAUAUUGCAGUUAUGAUUUACAGCACAAUUGCCAGAGUCUCCCUGGCUUCAUCUCUGAUGGCUACUUACUCAGGCUGUCAUUUUUAGCUCCACAGAUUCUAUCUGCCUUGGCCUCUUCCACAAACACUGGAUUCACUGGAGUGUGUUGCAGACAAUACAGCUCUCAAACAAUGAAGCAUUUGUGUUCAUUUUCUUCUAUUUUAUCUUUGGAAUUCUACUAUUUAGGUCACUAUCUGUUGCUUCCAGCUAUUCUUUCCUGACAAAUUGUAGCUCUUUUUAGGCUUAAAAAGAUAUAAUCAAUGAAUUCAUCCGUUAUUCCUCUGGGUAUAAAGGUCUAGAUGUAAUAAGUGGUACACAUAGUAUAAGAAAGAUUACAUUGCUAUUCCUGAAUUGCAGCCCAAAGAUUAAUUGUGCCUUUAUAAGCCAAAAUUUGAAGAGCUGCUGGAUGCUGGCCUCUGAAAAUCUGAUACAACACAAUAAAACCCCAGUAUUACUAGAUUUCUCAAAUGCUUUAUACGUGAUCUCUCACCAGCAUGACCUGGAAGGGUGUGAAUGUAUGUAUGUAUAUUCCACAGCACAUAAUUUUAGAUGCAGAUAAGGAAAAUAAUGAUGAACAAACCUUUAUCUGAUCAUAUCUUAGUAUCUGCUUUUCCUAAAAGAAAGAAAAUAAUUCACCACAUUUUUUACUUGAAAAAGAUAAUCCUUGGAUUUUAGCAAGUAACAUCACUCAUCGUGAAAUGCAUCAAUAUCCGUGGGAUAAAAACUAUACUUAGGUAUGGGAACAUACUGGAAUUCCAUUCAUAUUUAAACUUAAGCUCACUGAUUGCUCUGCUCAUGUAAAAAAUUACUAUGCUCUGAAUGAAAUGAAAAUGAGUGCUUAAGCAAACAGUCAUAAAUUAAUUUAUAAUGAAACAUGACAGUCAUAAUUUAAUUUAGAAUGUAUUUAAGAUUGUUGUUACUAUUCGUAUAGGUCUGUUCUGCCUGGAGGAAGAUGUGGCUUCUUAGUGAAAUGUCAGCUAUUGAAAUACAAAACUUCUUAUGCGUACAUGUGUUUUAAUUAAUUAAAAUAAUGUAGCUACUUUCCUAAUGGAGAUCUGUUGUCUGUGGCAAGCAGUCAGACAAAAGACUGCAUGAUCGAGGAACAUGCAGUAUCAGUGGAGCACCAAGGACUUACCAGGAAGCAUGAGGGACACAGAGCCCAACCUGUAAAAUCUGUGGGGUCAUGAGGCUGCCACUUAGCUUCCUUCCACAGUGGUGAGGAACAGGGAAUGUAAUGAGAGCAAGGAGCAGGUGCUUUUGUAGUUCUCAUCUGUUCUCCGAAGCUGUUGGCUGCCCAGGUACAGCAGAGUGGCUGUCUAGGCCCAGUACCACGUCCUUGAAAUACCUGUUAGAUAGAUGGCUGCUUUUGCUGAUGUAAAGCUGAGCACAUAUGAAAUGUAGCUCAGGCACCUAUCAUCUGAAUUGUCCUCUCGGCAUCACUGACUGCCAUAAGAGCCCCUGAAAUGACUCUAGGUCUAACCUGUGCCUCUCAGGUUAGGAGGCACCAAGCUAGCUCUACUUACACCCCUGCUGCAUUGCUGGCUUUAAUAUCCAGAUGUUCCAGAAUUAGGCAGAGGUUAAACUCCUCAUGUUUGCAAUGCUGUCAACAGCAGUAUGCUGCCCUGUGUGCUGGGCUGGGUCCAUGUCCAGCACCCUGCUGAUGCCAGCAUAGCAGGAAGAGGUGAAGGGCAAGACUAGCAGUUACAGCACAGGCACU